AGAGUUUGAUCAUGGCUCAGGAUGAACGCUGGCGGUAUGCUUAACACAUGCAAGUCGAACGGUGUCUUCGGACACAGUGGCGGACGGGUGAGUAACGCGUGAGAAUCUGGCUUUAGGUCUGGGACAACCACUGGAAACGGUGGCUAAUACCGGAUGUGCCCUGCGGGGUGAAAGGUUAACUGCCUGAAGAUGAGCUCGCGUCUGAUUAGCUAGUUGGUGUGGUAAGAGCGCACCAAGGCGACGAUCAGUAGCUGGUCUGAGAGGACGAUCAGCCACACUGGGACUGAGACACGGCCCAGACUCCUACGGGAGGCAGCAGUGGGGAAUUUUCCGCAAUGGGCGAAAGCCUGACGGAGCAAUACCGCGUGAGGGAGGAAGGCUCUUGGGUCGUAAACCUCUUUUCUCAGGGAAGAACACAAUGACGGUACCUGAGGAAUAAGCAUCGGCUAACUCCGUGCCAGCAGCCGCGGUAAUACGGAGGAUGCAAGCGUUAUCCGGAAUGAUUGGGCGUAAAGCGUCCGCAGGUGGCUGUGUAAGUCUGCUGUUAAAGAGUCUAGCUCAACUAGAUACAAGCAGUGGAAACUACACGGCUAGAGUACGUUCGGGGCAGAGGGAAUUCCUGGUGUAGCGGUGAAAUGCGUAGAGAUCGGGAAGAACAUCGGUGGCGAAAGCGCUCUACUGGACUGCAACUGACACUNAGGGACGAAAGCUAGGGGAGCGAAUGGGAUUAGAUACCCCCGUAGUCC
Molecule: ribosomal RNA, 746 nt
Filed under: uncultured cyanobacterium
Lineage: Bacteria; Bacillati; Cyanobacteriota
Description: bacterial SSU rRNA
Rfam family: Bacterial small subunit ribosomal RNA
Source: RNAcentral